This 253-nucleotide ribosomal RNA is filed under the name uncultured bacterium. Its description in RNAcentral is "partial 16S ribosomal RNA". It matches the Rfam family "Bacterial small subunit ribosomal RNA", at positions 524 to 776 of the family's 1533-position model. The record is from RNAcentral.
UACGUAGGGACCAAGCGUUGUCCGGAAUCAUUGGGCGUAAAGAGCGUGUAGGCGGCCUGUUAAGUCUUGCGUGAAAUCUCGGGGCUCAACCCCGAGCGGUCGUGAGAAACUGGCAGGCUAGAGUGCGGGAGAGGAGAGUGGAAUUCCUGGUGUAGCGGUGAAAUGCGCAGAUAUCAGGAAGAACACCCGUGGCGAAGGCGGCUCUCUGGAACGCAACUGACGCUGAGACGCGAAAGCGUGGGGAGCGAACAGG